Diabrotica virgifera virgifera (western corn rootworm) is the source of this 436-nucleotide long non-coding RNA. RefSeq lists it as uncharacterized. Lineage: Eukaryota; Metazoa; Arthropoda; Insecta; Coleoptera; Chrysomelidae. The record is from RefSeq and is a predicted model, not a curated record. The transcript has 2 exons.
UUAUGGCUGUUACUCAUCUCAUACUAAUGGCACCAGUGGCGCACCCAGGGGGUGGUUUGGGUGUUAAAACCCCUCCCACCGGCCACCAGUACAUACAAAGAAUAGUAGGAAAAUACAAAUCGGAGAUCCAAAAGUUUUUUUGAUCCAAAAUUGAGUGAUUUGAAAUGGAAUCACCCGUAAUUAUAUGGUAUAAGUUCUUGGCUUGUGGCAGGUGUCGUCCAUUGACGAUUGACGACUCUCUGGAAUUGACCUAGCAGCUUGGUCUUCUGGCCAGUCUUUUUAGGCUUAGGAGUCUGUCAAUCACUGGAGGGUUUUGAAUUUUAAACUUUAUCGCAGAGUAAAUGUUGAAAAAUACUUUUUAUUGUACCUAUUAUAUUAUAUAAACAAUGAAAUAUUAUUCUGGUCCAGAUAAUAAAAAUAUUAUUUAUAACAAUUA